UACGUAGGGUGCGAGCGUUGUCCGGAAUUAUUGGGCGUAAAGGGCGCGUAGGCGGUUUGUCGCGUCGGGUGUGAAAACACCGGGCUUAACUCGGUGCUUGCUUUCGAUACGGGCAGACUAGAGGUAUGCAGGGGAGAACGGAAUUCCUGGUGUAGCGGUGAAAUGCGCAGAUAUCAGGAGGAACACCGGUGGCGAAGGCGGUUCUCUGGGCAUUACCUGACGCUGAGGAGCGAAAGUGUGGGGAGCGAACAGG
This 253-nucleotide ribosomal RNA is filed under the name uncultured bacterium. RNAcentral describes it as "partial 16S ribosomal RNA". It matches the Rfam family "Bacterial small subunit ribosomal RNA", at positions 524 to 776 of the family's 1533-position model. The record is from RNAcentral.